This is a long non-coding RNA of Gasterosteus aculeatus aculeatus (three-spined stickleback), 1961 nucleotides long. NCBI's taxonomy places the organism in Eukaryota, Metazoa, Chordata, Actinopteri, Perciformes, Gasterosteidae. The record is from Ensembl.
UAAUGAACUUGUCCUAUCCUGGUACAUUAUAUACACGUCAGUGAGUGUGGGUGUAGGUGUGUGUUCUGUUUUACCCCAGGAGGACCGCCUGUGUGCUACAUAGUGAUGAAGGACACUUGGUUAUCUCUACCUGGCACCCUUAUCACGUGUGACACCUUUCAACAACCCUCCGUCCCCACCUUUCUGUCCAAUGCGCUCUGAAAAUGGGGGCCAGAGAUAAGGAGCGUGUGUUUGCAUGUCUACGAGUUUGUGUGCACGCAUGGCACAGUGAGUGGGAGACAAGGGUACACUGAGGGGCUCGGGGCGCACUGUGCCGCACGCCACGCCACAAGGUGGGAUAAGAAGCAAACAAACAUACAGGCUGCGCUCAGCAACCCCGAUCAGAGUGUCUGCCAGGGUCCUGAUAAGCUGUCAGGCAGGAGAGGACCGUGAGAGGUGGAAGGAGUGGGUGGCGGUUGUGGGUAUGUAUGCCUGUUGACAUUGAAGGACGCGCUCCCUCUCUGAGCGCUAAUGGUCACGAACUUGUCCCACAAUAAUUAUUUUGUUACUUAUCCAUAUUGUCAUCCAUAUUUUUGACGGUUCUACACUACACUGACACCCAAACCUCUUGAAUCAAGACAAACUUUAAUGAGCAUGCAGGUGACACAAUGAGUGGUUCCUCUGUGAGCCUGGAUUUAGCCUCAAUGACGUACUUCAUGCAUGUGUACACACAAUAGCCCCAGAGUGAUGAGCAUCAUGUAGUUUGCCCUCCCGUAUUAUUAUUCUUUUUUUAAUGUUUUGUGGGGAUAAAUCCACAAAUUCUCACCACGUUUUGCACUCUCCACAACCCAAAAAUGUACUUUCAUCUCACCGUAGAACUAUCUUAACACCUGCCUGUCUUUUGAUGGAUGGUCAAUCCAGCUGUCUGCUGAUGAGUACACAUCUGUCCGCCUGUCCAUCUGCCAGCUUUUGGAGCCAAUGUGUGGGGUGGCAUGAGCAACAUUGCUGCCCUGUGAGAAAUAAAGCAUUAAAUACCAACUGAACAGUAUGUUUAUUUGGAGAGGAAACGCUGCCAGCACAAACAACGCAAAGACACAGCUUGCCUCUGCCAUAAGACGACAACUGCUCACUCCAAAGUUGUUUUGUGUGUUUGUGUCUACACUGGGAAGCCUGUAAUCAUAGAUGACCUAGCUUUUGUUCAGUGUGUGUGAACCCCGCUGCUUCACUGUGAGGACAUGGCUUCUGGAGGGCUGCCUGCAGUCUCCAGGGUUAAGCUAGCUGUGGUUGAUCAGUAAAUUACAUUCAGACUGUAAGCAGGCUGCUUGAUAAACCCAGUGGUGGGUCGUCAGGGUCAGCUUAGCCUUCUCUGCUGCCCUAAACAGAAUCACAAAUUUAAACUAUUUCAUCAUUUAAGUUGCAUUACAUGUAUUAUUCCUAUUAUCUGGUUUUCUCAUUGCACGGCUCUUGUCUUCGGCUGUUGCUCUGCUUCCAGCGCAAAAAGAGCUUUUUCAGAUUCAGCCCCCCUGUCUCUAUGUGAAGUAUAUAUUUUUCAACCUAUCCGGUCUUUAGUUUGACCUGUUGGGGGUUUUCUUUGACGUGCCAGUUGCACCUCUGUAGGCUCAUUAGUACUUUGUCUGUAAAUAGGGACCAUGCUUUUGUGUUAUUUGUCCGUAUUGUUUUUAUUAUAUAUUGAAUAUCCCUCUGAUCUAAAUAAUAUUUGAAUGGAACCGUGCUGUUGAGUUUUUUAGUGCUGUAGUUUUGAUGGAUUGUUUUUUCAUGCUUUGUUGCAAAUAAAUGUCACUGGUUCUUGUGAGAUUUCACUUGUCAUCGAGUUAAUUACAUUGAUUUGACUACACGCAUUCAUGUAUCUGCAUUUAGUGUAUUUGUAGGAGUUGAGCUUUAUGUAACAUUUUAUUUCACGUUAAAUAUUGCAGUGUUUUGUGAUUAAGAACCAGAACCUCUAACUGUGGCGUCAUGAUGAG